This 200-nucleotide long non-coding RNA is filed under the name Nicotiana benthamiana. RNAcentral's name for it is "long non-coding RNA (NBEN_LNC005377)". The record is from RNAcentral. Lineage: Eukaryota; Viridiplantae; Streptophyta; Magnoliopsida; Solanales; Solanaceae.
GGCCUAGCAGAUGACUCUUAGUUAGACUGGUACUAGUUAGGAUAUCACAUAAGGGGAAUCCCAUUCUAGGAGUUCUCCAAAGCCCUAUCCCAUAUAAAAGAGAAAAGCUAUAUUAACGCUCUAGCCCAAGAAUAGAUCUUAUGAAAAGAAAAGAACGAUCGUCAGCGGAGAUCGCAAUACGAAGUUUUUUAGACAUAAUC